Molecule: long non-coding RNA, 67 nt
Filed under: Sus scrofa (pig)
Lineage: Eukaryota; Metazoa; Chordata; Mammalia; Artiodactyla; Suidae
Description: lncRNA (ENSSSCG00055015990.1)
Source: RNAcentral
AAUUUGGGUCACCAAAUACCACCUUGCUUCGAAAUCUUCCCUCUCUCAACCAGUCCUUCUGCAGCUC